GCCACACUAGCAAAACGGUUAAUGCACUUGUCCUGUAAACAAGAGAUUCUUGGUUCAAAUCCAAGGUGCGGCACCA
This 76-nucleotide transfer RNA is filed under the name Caudoviricetes sp. Its description in RNAcentral is "tRNA-Thr". It matches the Rfam family "tRNA". From Rfam's summary of the family: Transfer RNA (tRNA) molecules are approximately 80 nucleotides in length. Their secondary structure includes four short double-helical elements and three loops (D, anti-codon, and T loops). Lineage: Duplodnaviria; Heunggongvirae; Uroviricota; Caudoviricetes. The record is from RNAcentral.